Molecule: ribosomal RNA, 460 nt
Filed under: uncultured bacterium
Lineage: Bacteria
Description: partial 16S ribosomal RNA
Rfam family: Bacterial small subunit ribosomal RNA
Source: RNAcentral
CCUACGGGUUGCAGCAGUGAGGAAUAUUGGUCAAUGGGCGCGAGCCUGAACCAGCCACGUAGCGUGAAGGAUGACUGCCCUACGGGUUGUAAACUUCUUUUAUAAAGGAAUAAAGUGAGGCACGUGUGCCUUUUUGUAUGUAAUUUAUGAAUAAGGAUCGGCUAACUACGCGCCAGCAGCCGCGGUAAUACGGAGGAUCUGAGCGUUAUCCGGAUUUAGUGGGUUUAAAGGGAGCGUAGAUGGGGUGUUAAGGCAGUAGUGAAAGUUUGCGGCUCAACCGUAAAAUUGCAAUGGAUACUGGCAGUCGUGAGUACAGUUGAGGUAAGCGGAAUUCGUAGUGUAGCGGUGAAAUGCUUAGAUAUCACGAAGAACUCCGAUUGCGAAGGCAGCUUACUAAACUGCCACUGACAUUGAUGCUCGAAAGUGUGGGUAUCAAACAGGAUUAGAUACCCCUGUAGUC